AACUUUAAAAAAAACUGUCGAUUUUCUGCUGUCAAGGAAACAAGCUGUUCUCCCAUUCGAGGCUCCCUUGGAUCCUGUUAGAACUAAGGAAUGACAAGUACAGAGGGACUUUUUAUCCAAAAUUUGUGAACUUUCAGUGCCACAAUCCUUUGCCCGCCCCUCUGUGAGAGGACUGAGUUCUCUCCUCAUGUCUUCAGCACACGGGCAGUGCCACCUUGGUCUCUAGGCCUCAGAAUACCAGGAAAACCUCCCUUCUCAGCUUGCCAUCAUGCCAUUCAAAAUUUGCCAGGCUUCGUCCUAGGGGAAAACAACACAAACAUGAGCAAACAGAAUGCAUAUCAGAAGAUGGCAUCUGUCGAGACACUUGGGCUCGGGCAGAGCACAACCCAGUGACUGUGUGUUCAGAGUCCUUCUUGGUGGUCACACCCUUCAGAUGGCCUCGGCGCUUCCAGAGGUAGGCUGAUGACAGCUGAAGAAGACUGUAUUUGCCGAGGAGCAGCGUGAUGGUAGAGAGGAGCAGAGCUCCUGAGGGAGACCUAAUGGUUCCUCUCCUUCCUGCACGGAGAUAAAGACUUAUAAUAAGCGUGUAUGUUCACCAUCUGGCUCUGCGCAUGUGGUCCUUAUGGAGCGGAGAGCCGCACAAUCUGUAAAUGAUCAGGAGCCAUGGCGCUCUCUCCAGAGAAUCCACGAUGCAAUCAAGGUGACAGAUGGCAUGGCCACUGCUGUGGCCUCAUGGAGAAGAUCAAAAUCACCUUCAAUAAACUCUGACUGAAAUGGGCAUGAGCACCUCAAAAAAGUCAGUUUGUCAGUCAAACUGCGACAGCAAGCUGCAUUGGGGGAGCGCGGCGGCCAGCUCUCUGUUUUCAAUCGUUUCCGUCUGACUGGGCCUGAACUAUGAUCUUUCUCAAAUUGUCCUUUCUGUUUAGCUGAAGCGGGCCAACAAAUUGCCAGAUUCAUGGCUUUAUUGAAGGAAAUUGAAAACACGAUGUCCUCAAUUCCGGGGACGCACAGCUGGCAGGUGCUGGGACACCCAAGCGAGGAGCGGGG
Long non-coding RNA from Tupaia belangeri chinensis (Chinese tree shrew), 1047 nucleotides. RefSeq lists it as uncharacterized. The record is from RefSeq and is a predicted model, not a curated record. The transcript has 3 exons. NCBI's taxonomy places the organism in Eukaryota, Metazoa, Chordata, Mammalia, Scandentia, Tupaiidae.